GACGAACGCUGGCGGCGUGCUUAACACAUGCAAGUCGAACGGAAAGGCACUGCUUUUGUGGGGUGCUCGAGUGGCGAACGGGUGAGUAACACGUGAGUAACCUGCCCUUGACUUUGGGAUGACUUAAGGAAACUGGGGCUAAUACCGGAUAGGAUCUCCUGCAGCAUGGUGGGGGUUGGAAAGUUUCGGCGGUUGGGGAUGGACUGGCCGCUUAUCAGCUUGUUGGUGGGGUAGUGGAUUACCAAGGCUUUGACGGGUAGCCGGCCUGAGAGGGUGACCGGCCACAAUGGGACUAAGGGACGGCGCAGACGCCAACGGUGGGCAGCAGUGGGGAAUAUUGCACAAUGGGCGGAAGCCUGAGGCAGCAACGCUGCGGUCGGGAUGACGGCCUGCGGGUUGUAAACCGCUUUCGCCUGAUACGAAGCGGGAGUGACGGUAAUGGGUAAAUAAGCACCGGCUAACUACGUG
This 468-nucleotide ribosomal RNA is filed under the name uncultured bacterium. Its description in RNAcentral is "partial 16S ribosomal RNA". It matches the Rfam family "Bacterial small subunit ribosomal RNA", at positions 28 to 507 of the family's 1533-position model. The record is from RNAcentral.